Molecule: transfer RNA, 81 nt
Filed under: Armatimonadota bacterium
Lineage: Bacteria; Bacillati; Armatimonadota
Description: tRNA-Leu
Rfam family: tRNA
About the family: Transfer RNA (tRNA) molecules are approximately 80 nucleotides in length. Their secondary structure includes four short double-helical elements and three loops (D, anti-codon, and T loops).
Source: RNAcentral
GGGCGAGUGGUGGAAUGGUAGACACGCUAGUCUUAGGAACUAGUGCCGCAAGGUGUAGGGGUUCAACUCCCCUCUUGCCCA